AGUGAACGCUGGCGUUAGUCCUAACACAUGCCAGUCGAACGGCAGCACAUUAAGAGCUUGCUCUUACGGGUGGCGAGUGGCGGACGGGUGAGGAAUACAUCGGAAUCUACUUUUUCGUGGGGGAUAACUUAGGGAAACUUACGCUAAUACCGCAUACGACCUACGGGUGAAAGCAGGGGAUCUUCGGCCCUUGCGCGAUUGAAUGAGCCUAUGUCGGAUUAGCUAGUUUGCGGGGUAAAGGCCCACCAAGGCGACGAUCCGUAGCUGGUCUGAGAGGAUGAUCAGCCACAGUGGAACUGAAACACGGCCCAGACGCCGAAGGGAGGCAGCAGUGGGGAAUAUGGGACAAUGGGGGCAAGCGGGAUCCAGCCAUACCGAGUGGGUGAAGAAGGCCUUCGGGUUGUAAAGUCAUUUGGUUGGGAAAGAAAAGCAGCAGGUUAAUACCCCGCUGUUCUGACGGUACCCAAAGAAGAAGCACCGGCUAAAUUCGU
RNAcentral lists this ribosomal RNA (491 nucleotides) under uncultured bacterium. RNAcentral describes it as "partial 16S ribosomal RNA". It matches the Rfam family "Bacterial small subunit ribosomal RNA", at positions 29 to 506 of the family's 1533-position model. The record is from RNAcentral.